RNAcentral lists this ribosomal RNA (468 nucleotides) under uncultured bacterium. Its description in RNAcentral is "partial 16S ribosomal RNA". The stretch from base 51 to 468 matches the Rfam family "Bacterial small subunit ribosomal RNA", at positions 34 to 507 of the family's 1533-position model. The record is from RNAcentral.
GGGGGGGGGGGGGGGGGGGGGGGGGGGGGGGAGGGGGGGGGGGAAGGGGCUGCGGGUGGGGGGGGCUCGAGUGGCGAACGGGUGGGGAACGGGGGAGUAGCCGGCCGUUGGCUUUGGGAUCACUUCAGGAAAGUGGGUGUAAUACCGGAUAGGCGCUUCUGGUGGAUGGUUGGGGUGGGAAUGGUUCGUCGGUUGGGGCUGGACUCGUGGCUUAUCAGCUUGUUGGUGGGGUAGUGGCUUACCAAGGCUUUGACGGGUAGCCGGCCUGAUAGGGUGCCCGGCCACAUUGGGACUGAGAUACGGCCCAAACUCCUACGCGAGCCAGCAGUGGGGAAUAUUGCACAAGGGGCGGAAGCCUGAUGCAGCCACGCCGCGUGCGGGAUGACGGCCUUCGGGUUGUAAACCGCUUUCGCCUGUGACGAAGCGUGAGUGACGGUAAUGGGUAAAGAAGCACCGGCUAACUACGUG